This is a long non-coding RNA of Lolium perenne, 1398 nucleotides long. RefSeq lists it as uncharacterized. Lineage: Eukaryota; Viridiplantae; Streptophyta; Magnoliopsida; Poales; Poaceae. The record is from RefSeq and is a predicted model, not a curated record.
GCCCGCGAAACCCUAGCCCCUGCACCUUCUUCUCAAUCACCCCUAGCUCCUGCUGUACUACACGGACGCCGGCAACCACCUCCUGGAUCCCCACGUCGACCACAUCGUGCUCGGCCACCCUCUGGUCUCCCCGGUGGUGUGGUGGUCUGGGGCUGCUGCUACGGCCUCCUGGGAUGGCCGUGGCCUGCUGGGGCUGCUACAUGUAAUACGGGCAUGGAGGAUUCGUUGAACGAAGAUUGGCUGCGCCACUCGCCCCUCCUGCCCUUGAACUUCCUCCUCCACAUCUUCUCUCUCUUUUGAUGAUCAGUCCUGUCUGCUGGUCUGGUGGCGCACUUGGAGCAAGGAACACAGUUUCUGCCAUCCACGUUUUCCCUCCCUUGGUUCCUUCAUUGCCUGCAGUAGUGAUUCUAGCUUUUCUAAGGCUUGCUACAUGUAUCUGGAAUUGGUGACACAUAUAACUGGGAUGGUUCAGUCGGUUAGGUAAUGGUGCUUCAUUGUCUGCAGUAGUGAUUCUAAAUUAUAUUACUUUUUUUACUGCAGGUACAACACAUGUUUUGGGUUAUUUUGCAGGCUCUUCCUGCAUUCCUUUUUUGGCAGGAGAUCCUUCAAGAUUAUUUCUGUAUUACUCUUAGUGACAACUGAAAAUUUAAGGAGAAAAUGUUAACUUAAAGCAUGAUGUUUCCAGCCUAAAUAUAUGAACAUAAGUUUCUACUACCUGUUUGAAGAUUCAGGCAAUGGGGCACAUAGAUAAUAUCUAAUGACUUAUGACUAACGAUGUGCAUACAGGAGGCAAUUCAGUUGUCAGAAAGUUGAGGUAUAAAUCAAGAUGACAUUUCGAAUGUUCAGUUUUAAAGAUUAUAAUAGCGUACCAGAAAGUACUUGAUCACCUGUAACGAUGUUCAGCUAUUUGCUAUCCAAUUUAUGGUUUCAGAUACAGAUGGAGUUCUCCAGUUUCAGCGAGUUGUGUACAACAUCUAGUGGAAGUGGUGACCUGGUAAUGCAGCACACCUGCAUUCCCGUCACAACGUCUGACAUCUUAUAUGGUUCACUCUCUACUGAAAGCAUCAACUUACCUGUCCCUUUUUCCAUUGGAGUUUUUGGUGCCUACAGAGUUUAGAUGAUUAAACUUGAGGACCAAUAUGAUGCUCAAGCAGCUACAUGUCUGCACAAUGGCUACAGAUGUUUGGUGCUCAAUUUACCGACAAGAGUUGAUGCAUUUCCCGAAACACUAUGUAGAUAGUAGUGCAGUUACAUUACAUGUAAUUUUGAUUAGUGAUUAGUUGCAUGUUAUGUUAAUGGUCAGUAGUUCCUUUUGAGCUCAAGUAGCCUGCAAGAGCUGAUGCACUUCGAGAAAACACUGUCUAGAUAGUAGUGCAGUUAUAUUACAUAAAUUUUACA